ACUCUGAAAGAGACAUGUUGGCACAUCUUGACUUCAUUACCAGCACUUUUAUUUAAUGGAAAACUCUGCGCUGAUUGUUUUGAUCAGCAAAAAAAAGCAGCGUCUGAAGAACACUUGGCAUUAAAACUGCACAAACAAUGGCAUGCUACAAUCAGAUAAGCAGCAACAACACUAGGAUCACCUGGAAUUUAUGUACAGAUUCGGAUGUUAUCUAUCUGAAGAUAUCUAUGGACACAGAUAUGUAGACAUGUCUGACUUUCUGCAACAGAUAAACGUGAAGAAACUCUUCACCUUAAAUCGCGUCUUGCUUUGGUGGUAUUUAAUAGCACGUUUCUGUACAACCCAUGCUGGAAGACUGCCUUCAAGAAACGAAUCUGCCCGCUUUGACAGCUCGAUAGUGGGUGAUUGAUGACUAUCCAGAGAACACAGUCUACAUAAUAUAAUAUCUCCCGCAUAAUUGCUUCAAUUUACAGAUGAAAGUACGUGUUCUCAAAUUGAGUUAGCCUUUGUAAAACAGUAUUUUGACAUAUUAGGUUUUAAAAAAAAAUGAAAAUUACCUGCAUUUAAAAUAUCCAAAGGGAUCCGCGACCGUGGGGUUUUACAGUAUGAAGACACGUGCAGUUGAAUGUUUCAAACUGUAUAGAUCGCUAUCUUCCAAUUAGAUUUAUAGGUGAUCUGCAAGAAGCUGAAAAGGUCAUUAAAAAGUUUUAAAAUAACAUUCUCCUUUGCGGAAAUUAACUCACAAAUAGCAAAGGAAGUUUUAAAAUCAUUUAAUCUGGGAACAGUAAUUGCAACCCGAGCUUUCAGAUGAUAUACUCUAGUGCAAUAUCAUACCUUCAACACGGGAAUGCAUUUCUACAGGUGCACAAUAUUUCACCAUUUGCACGCACAUCGCUGCAAUCGUUUACUUACAAACACAUUUACCCUUCCCAGUGAGUCUUGAUGUCAUUGCCUUCUACGUACCAGCACAGAGGCCACUUGAGAAUUGUAAAGAUAGGAAAUGCGACCUGAUGACCCUUGAACUGGAAGGAAGUUAACAUACAAAAGUCAUGUAGCCAGACAUAAAGAAGAGCUGCAGACAAAGGGCAGCCACAGUGGAAAGGAGAAUGGACAAGAUACACUUGCAGUAGCUGUGCGUAAUACAGUCAAACAGGACAGAAAGCCGAAGGCAGGGUUCGAACAGGAAUCGUAAAUUGGAUAAUUUUACUGCUCCUGCUUCAGUUUUGUCAGAGUCGGCCAGACCGUUCAACGGGAUUUAAAUGGGGUUUAUUAAGGGGGUAGAUAAAGGAGUCUCUGGGGAAACAGUGCCAGGAAGACUGUCAUAAACCUAGCCAAGGAAGUUCUGUGGGUGUGUGCCAUUUGGCUGACAACUGUCUCAGGGGACCUUUAAUGGAAUAUGGCUUCCAGUAAACGUAAUUCAAGGGGAAAAAAAAAAUCAAUUGAGUAGGAAAAUGAGAGAUCCUAUGUACCAAGGCUGAGUUAGAGAACUUUGGAACUGCACAUAGUGCCACAUGUUUCCAGGAAGUGCUGUGGGUGCUUCUGGUCAUGGUUGUCUAAGGCAUAUUUGUUGUAAUGACCGUUUAAAUUUAAAUUUACCUUUUUAU
This is a long non-coding RNA of Carcharodon carcharias (great white shark), 1604 nucleotides long. RefSeq lists it as uncharacterized. Lineage: Eukaryota; Metazoa; Chordata; Chondrichthyes; Lamniformes; Lamnidae. The transcript is spliced from 4 exons. The record is from RefSeq and is a predicted model, not a curated record.